GACAGAGGAUGCAAGCGUUAUCCGGAAUCACUGGGCGUAAAGCGUCUGUAGGUGGUUUAAUAAGUCAACUGUUAAAUCUUGAGGCUCAACUUCAAAAUCGCAGUCGAAACUAUUUAGACUAGAGUAUAGUAGGGGUAAAGGGAAUUUCCAGUGGAGCGGUGAAAUGCGUAGAGAUUGGAAAGAACACCAAUGGCGAAAGCACUUUACUGGGCUAUCACUGACACUGAGAGACGAAAGCUAGGGUAGCAAAUGGG
This 254-nucleotide ribosomal RNA is filed under the name uncultured bacterium. RNAcentral describes it as "partial 16S ribosomal RNA". It matches the Rfam family "Bacterial small subunit ribosomal RNA", at positions 524 to 776 of the family's 1533-position model. The record is from RNAcentral.